This 729-nucleotide long non-coding RNA is filed under the name Bos mutus (wild yak). Its description in RNAcentral is "lncRNA (ENSBMUG00000013610.1)". Lineage: Eukaryota; Metazoa; Chordata; Mammalia; Artiodactyla; Bovidae. The record is from RNAcentral.
AUUUGACAGUCGAUUUGCUGACAGGGGAGGAAUUUGCAUCCUGGAUUAAAAAAAAAAAAAAAAAAAGGCCGAGAGGAGCUUGGGAACGGUUGCUAGGGGUGGGUAAUGGGUGAAAAAAGGGGGGCGCCGGGGAGCGGAUAAGGAGGGUUAAGGGAGGGGGCGAGGGUGGGGAGCAAUGCAAAAGGUAAGGCCAGGUUACCGCGGCUCGGCCCCGAGUGGGCUGCGGCCGGGGGAGGGGCGAGAGAUACAUAUGUAUUUCUGUCUCCCUAGCACACCCCCUUCCCUCUAAGCGAUGGCUGAGAGGCGGUGCAUGCAGAUGGGGACUCUGCUCGCCCCUCAUCUCACCCCCCAGGCGAAGACUGGUCUUCUUGUCGGAUUGCCUAUGCACUUGUUGCAGAAACAGCCAAGGCCCUGGCUCUGGAGGAUGCUGAAAGAGGAAGACACAGAAGCAGGACGACCCUGAGAGAUUAAGCCUCUUAAUCGUGAAACAGGUGUGAGCAGCAUUUCUUCACCACGGUGGCAUUUGGUCCGUCCCUUAGCCCGGGUGAGGAUGUAAAACCCCUCGCUCUGCACAUGCAUGGUAGAGGCCAACAGGAACACCUGGCUGCAGCCACGGUCACGGACAUGUCAGCCGUGGAGUAGUGUGGACGCUUUCUCUCUGCUUCUCAGGGUUUCAGUCCUUUCGGGUUUGUGUCAUUGACCUUUUUGUAUGGUUUUGUGGCUGGACAU